GCCGCGGGUGCUAUACAUGCAAGUCGAACGCGUUGGCCCAAUUGAUUGAUGGUGCUUGCACCUGAUUGAUUUUGGUCGCCAACGAGUGGCGGACGGGUGAGUAACACGUAGGUAACCUGCCCAGAAGCGGGGGACAACAUUUGGAAACAGAUGCUAAUACCGCAUAACAGCGUUGUUCGCAUGAACAACGCUUAAAAGAUGGCUUCUCGCUAUCACUUCUGGAUGGACCUGCGGUGCAUUAGCUUGUUGGUGGGGUAACGGCCUACCAAGGCGAUGAUGCAUAGCCGAGUUGAGAGACUGAUCGGCCACAAUGGGACUGAGACACGGCCCAUACUCCUACGGGAGGCAGCAGUAGGGAAUCUUCCACAAUGGGCGCAAGCCUGAUGGAGCAACACCGCGUGAGUGAAGAAGGGUUUCGGCUCGUAAAGCUCUGUUGUUAAAGAAGAACACGUAUGAGAGUAACUGUUCAUACGUUGACGGUAUUUAACCAGAAAGUCACGGCUAACUACGUGCCAGCAGCCGCGGUAAUACGUAGGUGGCAAGCGUUAUCCGGAUUUAUUGGGCGUAAAGAGAGUGCAGGCGGUUUUCUAAGUCUGAUGUGAAAGCCUUCGGCUUAACCGGAGAAGUGCAUCGGAAACUGGAUAACUUGAGUGCAGAAGAGGGUAGUGGAACUCCAUGUGUAGCGGUGGAAUGCGUAGAUAUAUGGAAGAACACCAGUGGCGAAGGCGGCUACCUGGUCUGCAACUGACGCUGAGACUCGAAAGCAUGGGUAGCGAACAGGAUUAGAUACCCUGGUAGUCCAUGCCGUAAACGAUGAGUGCUAGGUGUUGGAGGGUUUCCGCCCUUCAGUGCCGGAGCUAACGCAUUAAGCACUCCGCCUGGGGAGUACGACCGCAAGGUUGAAACUCAAAGGAAUUGACGGGGGCCCGCACAAGCGGUGGAGCAUGUGGUUUAAUUCGAAGCUACGCGAAGAACCUUACCAGGUCUUGACAUCUUGCGCCAACCCUAGAGAUAGGGCGUUUCCUUCGGGAACGCAAUGACAGGUGGUGCAUGGUCGUCGUCAGCUCGUGUCGUGAGAUGUUGGGUUAAGUCCCGCAACGAGCGCAACCCUUGUUACUAGUUGCCAGCAUUAAGUUGGGCACUCUAGUGAGACUGCCGGUGACAAACCGGAGGAAGGUGGGGACGACGUCAGAUCAUCAUGCCCCUUAUGACCUGGGCUACACACGUGCUACAAUGGACGGUACAACGAGUCGCGAACUCGCGAGGGCAAGCAAAUCUCUUAAAACCGUUCUCAGUUCGGACUGCAGGCUGCAACUCGCCUGCACGAAGUCGGAAUCGCUAGUAAUCGCGGAUCAGCAUGCCGCGGUGAAUACGUUCCCGGGCCUUGUACACACCGCCCGUCACACCAUGAGAGUUUGUAACACCCAAAGUCGGUGGGGUAACCUUUAGGAGCCAGCCGCCUAAGGUGACAGGAUGA
RNAcentral lists this ribosomal RNA (1477 nucleotides) under Limosilactobacillus fermentum. Its description in RNAcentral is "bacterial SSU rRNA". It matches the Rfam family "Bacterial small subunit ribosomal RNA". The record is from RNAcentral. Lineage: Bacteria; Bacillati; Bacillota; Bacilli; Lactobacillales; Lactobacillaceae.